AGCAGUAGCCACGGUAAUCCGUAGGUCCCGAGCGUUGUCCGGAUUUAUUGGGCGUAAAGCGAGCGCAGGCGGUUAGAUAAGUCUGAAGUUAAAGGCUGUGGCUUAACCAUAGUACGCUUUGGAAACUGUUUAACUUGAGUGCAGAAGGGGAGAGUGGAAUUCCAUGUGUAGCGGUGAAAUGCGUAGAUAUAUGGAGGAACACCGGUGGCGAAAGCGGCUCUCUGGUCUGUAACUGACGCUGAGGCUCGAAAGCGUGGGGAGCAAACAGGAUUAGAUACCCGCGUAGUCCCUGUCUCUUAUACA
RNAcentral lists this ribosomal RNA (303 nucleotides) under uncultured bacterium. Its description in RNAcentral is "partial 16S ribosomal RNA". It matches the Rfam family "Bacterial small subunit ribosomal RNA", at positions 507 to 808 of the family's 1533-position model. The record is from RNAcentral.